GUGCAUCACGUAUACAUUGCUCACAGAGUGAGGGUGGGAGAUGACAGGAAGGGGAGAGACACGAAGGUUCUAACCUCACGGUGGGUGGUAAACGAUAGAUAAGAUGCGCUUCCAUUUUGUCUUUGGACACCACAGGGAAGAACAAGUUUUCUGAAUGUUGAAAAUCCAUAUUUGAAGUCAAUUUAUGAUGGAGAUGAAAAAGGAAGAGAAAAUGAUAAGAAAAAGAUGGCAGAAUAUCGAUAUAUACUUAAAAAAAUAUUACCACGAUAAUCGAGGUGACACAAAAACAUCGUAAAUAUGUACACGACAAAACAGGGAAUAAGAAAUGUGGUAAUCGUUUCACUUUUGAAACUUUAUCGAGUUUGUUGCAAGAAAUGUUUCUUGGAUAACAAUGAAGCCUAAACCGUGGCACCUUCGGCCCUUGUUUCCGUUCUCACGUUCAUUCGUUCUAAAUGGAAUCAACGAUCUUUUUAUUAGUCACCUUCUCAUUGCUAGUUUGCCGUUUAUUUAGAAAAUUGUCUUGAGAAAGGAUACCACUACUUAAUACCUAGAGAAAUUUUUAUAUAACUAUAUAUACUUAUAUACUAAUUAUGAUAAUAGUAUUUCUUUAAUAUUAA
RNAcentral lists this long non-coding RNA (617 nucleotides) under Apis mellifera (honey bee). RNAcentral's name for it is "uncharacterized LOC107964584, transcript variant X1". The record is from RNAcentral. Lineage: Eukaryota; Metazoa; Arthropoda; Insecta; Hymenoptera; Apidae.